AUGGCAAAAUCGGACGGACUUCUUUUCAAAUACAGAUCUCCGAUGUCCCCCUACAGUCUGCAGUUGCACGGCUGGUGGUGUGGCACAGACGGAGCAAGGGUUACAUCAAGGCUGUUCUCUGGACCGUGCAAACAGUCUAGACCAAUGACCUGCAGCAUCGUGCCCUUUGAAGAAGAGGCAAGUUCAGUCACGACGAAGAAAAAUCAAGGCGUACCCCUUUUAACAAUAGGGAGCAGCUCGUGGCUGCAAAGAGGUGUACAGCUGCCAUUCCAGGUGUGCAGCUGCCAUUCCAUCUCCCUGCAGGACUGUGUUUGCUGCUCCACAAGCUGCAGAGCAAGAGAAGCCAACUUGAGGAGCAUGCAUAUUGUGAUACCCUCAGUGAAGCUUUCACAGUUCCAGAAGUUUUAGUUACUGCUGCUACUUGGAAUGAGCACAAGGGAAGAAUGUUGCACCUGCCACCUUCUUACUGACUCUUCUUCUAGCAUUGCAGAGGUACUCAUAACUAUAAUUUUGAGUUGGUUCUGAAAAAAAAUGAAGGAUGUCAUCUACUAGUCUGAGGGUCUUGGACUAUUGGCCAGGCUGCUAAAUGAUGAGAAGGUUUUUUAGGAUGUCCUGUGUAAUAUUGCCUUUCCACAUAUUUUCUUUACUUGCUUCCACAGAUGUGACUUGUAGGCUCCCUUUUUAAGUGAGAGUCUAAUCCUUAGCAAUUAUCUUAGGGAAAUAUUGGCAUUGAGUAAAUCAAAUGGAUUUCUGUAUUUUUCCUCUUAGUUGGACUCUUUCAUACAGCAGUUGCUUUUUUCAUUUAAAUCUUUCUUUCUUGACUAAGCAGAAUCUAAAAUCUCUUUUUUGGUGUGUAAAUGCCGGAACAAUUUGCAGAAGACUUAGGCAGAAAACUGGCCACUGAGAUCAAAUAAUUUUUAAUAUAAAACUUAACAUAUUGUCUGAACUUAAGUUUUUGGAUUAGCUUCUUUGUCUGACACCUUUUAAGUUCUUACAAAGGCAUUGAUGGAUUCAGUGAGGGAUGCACAAAGCAACCUCUGUAGCAAAUUGCCCUGUGUGUUUGAUUUUUCUGGAAUAAGAUAGUAAGUUUCUGUGGUCCUGGUGCUGCUAAACAAGAGUGCUCUGGCUUUAACAUUUUCAUGCCUCUGAGACAAAGGGUCCAGAUCAGGUCAUUGCAUCUGGUCUGUGAAUGGGGACUUCUUGAGGAUGCAAUGAAAUGGGUGACAAUCAAUAAGAAGGAUAUUAAUAACAUCAUAGUGAAAUGCUGAUUUCAUCAAUGCUGCUAGUACAUCUGACCUUUAUCUUUUAAUGCAUAUACAUUGUGAGGGCUAUGAUAUAUUAUAAAUGUUCUAUUGUGGCACAAAUACUUCAAAUUUUUUCUUCCAGUGACAGUUUUACAAGCAUAUAUUUACUAACACAUAUACAGUCAUUUAAUAUUAAACCACAUUUAAAUCACUGCUUGCCCAGGAGGUAGGAUUUUAGCACUGAACCAUUAUGUUUGGGUAUUUUUUUGGCAAAAUGCCAUUUGACAUGAAAUUUAGAAAGGUCUAAAAGAAUAAAGACAUUCAGAUGUGAAAAUGUGCA
Lonchura striata (white-rumped munia) is the source of this 1584-nucleotide long non-coding RNA. Lineage: Eukaryota; Metazoa; Chordata; Aves; Passeriformes; Estrildidae. The record is from Ensembl.